UACGUAGGGUGCGAGCGUUAAUCAGAAUUACUGGGCGUAAAGCGUGCGCAGGCGGUUCGUUAUGUCCGUUGUGAAAGCCCCGGGCUCAACCUGGGAACUGCGCUUGUUACUGGCAGGCUUGAGUGUGGCAGAGGGGGGUGGAAUUCCACGUGUAGCAGUGAAAUGCGUAGAGAUGUGGAGGAACACCGAUGGCGAAGGCAGCCCCCUGGGCUAACACUGACGCUCAUGCACGAAAGCGUGGGGAGCAAACAGG
Molecule: ribosomal RNA, 253 nt
Filed under: uncultured bacterium
Lineage: Bacteria
Description: partial 16S ribosomal RNA
Rfam family: Bacterial small subunit ribosomal RNA
Source: RNAcentral